GGCCGCGUGGCGAAAUGGCAUCGCGUCUAACUACGAAUUAGGAGAUUGCAGGUUCGACCCCUGCGGUGGUCA
RNAcentral lists this transfer RNA (72 nucleotides) under Dendrothele bispora CBS 962.96. Its description in RNAcentral is "Dendrothele bispora (strain CBS 962.96) tRNA". It matches the Rfam family "tRNA". From Rfam's summary of the family: Transfer RNA (tRNA) molecules are approximately 80 nucleotides in length. Lineage: Eukaryota; Fungi; Basidiomycota; Agaricomycetes; Agaricales. The record is from Rfam by way of RNAcentral.